AUGGCAGCUAUUCUCUGGGCUAUUUGGAAAUGCCGAAAUGACAUAAUCUUUAGAAAUAAACUGAUCAAUGAUCCCAUGAAACUAGUUAAACUAACUUGCAGUUGGAUUGUGGAUUGGGCUGUUUUGCAGAGAAAAAACCCAAGGCAAAAUCUACUGAUGUUGGGGGCAAGGCUCAUCGAGCAAGUAGCAAGUGAGGUCUACAAAGCGUCAUAAGGGUGGAGAGCUGGAGUCCGUCGAUUGAUGAACUGA
This 249-nucleotide ribosomal RNA is filed under the name Triticum aestivum (bread wheat). RNAcentral describes it as "partial small subunit ribosomal RNA". Lineage: Eukaryota; Viridiplantae; Streptophyta; Magnoliopsida; Poales; Poaceae. The record is from RNAcentral.